AUUGAACGCUGGCGGCAUGCUUUACACAUGCAAGUCGAACGGUAACAGGUUAAGCUGACGAGUGGCGAACGGGUGAGUAAUGCAUCGGAACGUGCCCGGUCGUGGGGGAUAACGCAGCGAAAGCUGCGCUAAUACCGCAUACGAUCUGAGGAUGAAAGCGGGGGACCGUAAGGCCUCGCGCGAUCGGAGCGGCCGAUGUCAGAUUAGGUAGUUGGUGGGGGAAAGGCUCACCAAGCCAACGAUCUGGAGCUGGUCUGAGAGGACGACCAGCCACACUGGGACUGAGACACGGCCCAGACUCCUACGGGAGGCAGCAGUGGGGAAUUUUGGACAAUGGGCGAAAGCCUGAUCCAGCAAUGCCGCGUGCAGGAAGAAGGCCUUCGGGUUGUAAACUGCUUUUGUACGGAGCGAAAAGGUCUCCUCUAAUACAGGGGGCUCAAGACGGUACCGUAAGAAUAAGCACCGGCUAACUACGUGCCAGCAGCCGCCGUAA
RNAcentral lists this ribosomal RNA (493 nucleotides) under uncultured bacterium. RNAcentral's name for it is "partial 16S ribosomal RNA". It matches the Rfam family "Bacterial small subunit ribosomal RNA", at positions 29 to 523 of the family's 1533-position model. The record is from RNAcentral.